Molecule: long non-coding RNA, 5732 nt
Filed under: Marmota monax (woodchuck)
Lineage: Eukaryota; Metazoa; Chordata; Mammalia; Rodentia; Sciuridae
Source: RNAcentral
CGCUUCGGGGGAUGGCAGCCGAGUCCGGCCAGGAGACUUGACGUUCCUCCCCGCCAUCCGCAGUCGGAAGCCGUCUCCGGACCUGUGAGCCUUGAGGUGGGGGAAGCCGAAGAGUUGAUAAUGUGGACCCACGUCCUCCCGCAGGGGUCGCGGCUCUGAGCUUAGCGGGUCCUGGCUCCACAGCCCCCCGGACCGCGAAUCCGCUUCCAGGAGCGCGCCAGGCACCACGCCGUGCGGUCCCCGGGCGCGAUGCCGCUGACUUUCCAGGACGUGGCAGUGUACUUCUCCCCAGCGGAGGGGCAACAGCUGGGGCCCCAGCAGCGGGCGCUGUACCGGGAUGUGAUGCUGGAGAACUAUGGGAACGUGGCCUCCCUAGGUGAGAACUCCCUCUGGCUUCUGGAGCGGGGGUGGGGCAGGGGGAGGGGGUGCCUCUCUAAGGGGCUCAUGGGCUGCUUUGGCUUUUUGGAUCCCAAGAAGAAGGUCCCGCCCUCAUCCCCGGGUAACAGUCUGAUCUCUGCUGAAAGAACACUGCCCGUGAGAGAGCCUUGCUGCCCGAUUCGAGGGACUUCGCUCCCUUUGCCAGUGGCCCAGUGGUGGUGUUCCUCCCUGCCGCCCCCAGGAGAACAGGGUGAAUUCUUCCUUAAAACAAAACAAAAAACACUUCAGCCCCUGGCUUUCUCUGACCAAGCAUGGCAGCAAGCAGGCACUUCUCACCUGGCUUGGGAGACCUGGUGGGCAGAGGCCGCACAGGCUCACCCAGGUUUUCACCCUCAACAGGAUUCCCUGUCCCUAAGCCAGAGCUGAUCUCCCAGCUGGAGCAAGGCGAGGAGCUGUGGGUCAUGGAUCUUCUGGGGGCUGAAGAAUCAGAGGUCUUGAGAAACUGCCGAACAGGUGAGAAUGGGCAGGAGGCUAACCCUAAGAACCCCCCUCCCAGUUCUACACUCACUGCAGCAGUGAGGGCGGUUGGGUUGUUGUGCUUAGUCCAACCGCUCCAAGAGCAGAUGUAGUCACCACAGACAUGUGGCAUGUGCUCCUUGUUUACAAGGGCUUCCCUUACUGCUCCAUUUGCUUUACUCUAGAAAAUGUAUGCAGUGCCCAGUGCCCGUUGUAUGCGUUUUGUGGCACCUUCAUUCUCUUCUUUACAUAAUACUCUUUCUUGCUGGCUUUCUUUUGACAGUAGCUAUGGGUUGCCUGUCAUGUCCUUUUCUUCUUCACCUUUUCUUUCCUCUAACUCAGUUUGGUCAGUAGUAUUCUCUCUCUUUCCUUCUUGAGACCUGUGUCCUCAUGUGCACAUGCUUUUGCUCUCUCGCUAUCAGUGUAUUGUGGGCUGGUCUUGAAUUUAUGGACUCAAGCUUCCUACUGCUUCGGCUCCUGAGUGAAGUCACAGUUCCUGGGUCAAUAGUAUUUUUUUAUUUUUUUGGUACAGGGGAUUGAACCCAGGGGCACGCAACCACCAAACCGCCUCUCCCCAUCCUAUUUUGUAUUUUAUUUACAGACAGGGUCUCACUGAGUUGCUUAGUGCCUCACUUUUGCUGAGGCUGGCUUUGAACUCACAAUCCUCCUGCCUCAGCCUCCUGAACCACUAGGAUUACAGGCAUGAGCCACCGUGCCCAGCAAUAAUAUUUUUUUAAAUGUGUACUUUUUUCUGUUGGAUCCAGCUUCUCUACUUUUUUCAUCAGCUACUGAGGCUUGUUAUGCUUUCUACCUUUUUCUCCUCCUUCCUCUCUAUUUUUUUUUUUGUUAUUUUAUUGCUCUACACUGUCAGAACAUGUAAUUCCUUUACCCUUUACUAUUACUCCUAGCCCCACCUUUGAUGUUGUUGUUUUUUGCUGUUAAGUAUAUAUUUUUUUUACCUUUUAGUUAAUUGUUGAACCUUUUACCAGAAAUUUCUGCAUCAUUUCUCUGUUGGCUGGAGCUUGUCUUCCAGUUACUCAGAAAGACUCUUGUAAAUAAUAUGCCCCAAAUUUAUGCACAUUGAAGCCUUUUGCUUCUGGCAGUGGGUGCUAAAAUUGUUGACUUGCGAUGCUUCUUUUUGUAGAAAGGUGGAGUUAUAAGACUGAAAGCAUGGCUGUAGUUCCAGUUUGGAAAAUUUUAAUGUUAUAUUUUUGUCAUCAUUUAGUCCAAGAUAUUAUGUUUUGUGAUUUCUUUGACCCAAUGAUUAGUUGGAUGUGUGUUACUUUUCAAAACAAUUGGUACUUUUCUAUUUCUUAUUGUUGUUGACUUGUCAUUUAAUUCUACCAGGGUCAGGGAACCUAUUCUUGUAUAAUUUCAUUCUUCUCGUUUUUGCUUGCUCUUGUUUUAUGACUCUAGGAUCUCUCUCAGUAAGUAUCUGCGUGCAUGUAAAAAGGGUGGGUUCAAUGGGCUGCAGCUGGGGCUCAGUGGAAGAGCACUUACCUAGCACAUUCGAGGUGCUGGGUUCUAUCCUCAGCACCACAUAUAAAAUUAAUUAAUUAAUUAAUUAAUUAAUUAAAGAUUUUUUUUAAAAAAAGGGAUAGGUUCAAGUAGCAAUUAAGUCAAGGUGCUUCAUGGUACCAUUUAGAUAUCCCCCAGCCCUUUGCUCAUUUUAUGUGUAGUUAUUUUAUUUAUGUAUUUAUUUAUUUAUUUUUUGGGGGGGCGGUACUGGGGAUUGAACUCAAGGAUACUCAACCAUUGAGCCACAUCCCCAGCCCUAUUUUGUAUUUUUUAGAGACAGGGUCUCACUGAGUUGCUUAGCACCUCGAUUUUGCUGAGGCUGGCCUUGAACUCUUUAAUAUUUUUUUAGUUGUAUAUGGACACAAUACCUUUAUUUUAUUUUUAUGUGGUGCUGGGAAUCAAACCCAGUGCCUCACUCAUGCUAGGCAACUGCUCUACCACUGAGCUACAAACCUGGCCCUGGCCUUGAACUCUUGAUUCUCCUGCCUUAGCCUCCUGAGCCCCUGGGAUUACAGGCGUACACCACCACACCCAACAGUGUAGUUAUUCUUUAGUUACUAAGAGAAGGUGUUAAAAUACCCACAUGUGAUUGUGGAAUUGUCUUGUCUUUAAUUUUCUCAGUGUCUGGUUCAUGUACUUUGAAGCUGUGUUAUUUGUAUUAUUUUUACUUCUAAUCAUCAUUUUUAGGGAUAAGAGGAUCCCUUAUCAUCUCUGGUAAUAUAUUUGGUUCUGACUAUAUUUCAUCUGAUAUGUCAUAGCAGUUCUAGCCUUAGCCUUAUUCUUUUUUUUUUUUUUUGGUACUGGGGGUUGGACUCAGGCACUCAACCAACCCCCAAGCCACAUCCCCAGUCCUUUUUAAAUUUUUUUUUAAACUUUGUUUUAUUUGUUUAUUUAUUUUUUUAUGUGGUACUGAGGAUUGAACCCAGGACCUUGCACGUGCCAGGCGAGCCCUGUACCACUGAGCCUUUUUAAAAAUUUUUUAUUGUCAUAGAGGGAUAACAUGCCUAUAUUUUUAUUUUUUUAGUACAGUGCCUCACCUGUGCUAGGUAGGCAGUCUACCACUAAGCUAUAGCCCCAGCCCCUUAUCUUUUAAUUGUAGUGCUUAAUCUAUUAAUAUUUAAUGUCUCGUUGUGUGUGUGUGUGUGUGUGUGUGUGUGAGAGAGAGAGAGAGAGAGAUAAUGGGGAUGGAACCCAGGGCCUUAUGUGUGACAAGCAAGCACUCUACCACUGAACCACAUCUCCAGCCCUUUUUUUUUUUUUUUUUAAUUUGAAACAGGGUCCUUUUUUAUUUCUCUUUUUUGCCUUUCAUGUACUAAUUCAUUAUAAAUCUCAACCAUCCCUUCCCUCCUUUAUGGUAAAGUUAUAUGUAAUAUAUCUGUGUACAUUUGAGACAAUAUUAUAAUUUUCUUUUUAAAUCGUCAUAGAUGAUUAACAGCAGAGUUAUGUCCUGAUGAACCCAUCAUAAGUUGGAAAUCACUUAGUGCAUCUAACCUACCAAACAUGCCAGCUUAGCAGCACAGCACACUGGAGAGUACAGUUGUUGCCCUGUGAUCUUGUGGCUGCCUGGGAGUUGUGACUUCUGCCACUGCCCAGCAUUGCAAGAGAGAUCAUAGUGCCCAAGAAAAGAUUAAAAAUUCAAAAUAAUAUAGUUUCUAUUGAAUAUAUAUCACUUUGUGCUGUCAUAAGAUUGAAAAAGUCUUAUGCAAAACCCUGGGAAGUUAGUGCUGUACUUUGAAUCUGCAUUAUCCCUCAAAGGUCAACGUGUAAAAGGCUAAACUGAGGAGCCAUUGGGAAGUUGGGCUUGGGGGAAGAAGCAAGGUCAGUGGGAGAAUGCCACUGGAGAGUCUCUGGGACCCACGCCAUCCUAUCUGUUUUGUGCCUGGCCGCCAUGGAGUAAACAGGCUGCCAUGCUAGGCUCCUGCCACAAUGCGUACUGCUGCCACAGGCCCAGAGCACAAGCCAAGUGACUAUGGGCUAAGACUUCUGAAACUGUGGCCAGAAUAAGUGUCUCCUCCAUUUACCUAUCUAAGGUAUUUCAUCACAGUAAUGAAAACCUAACAGUUGAGGAACCAUUUAUAUGUAGUUUAUGAAAAAAUAAAAGAAAAAAAAUAGACUUUUUGCUGUCUCGACAUGUAAGGAGCUUAGAAGUUGCUGCGGGAUUCUAACAAGUAAAGAACUGAACAAACUGGAAAAUCAGUGACUCUUGGAUCAAUCAGAGUUGAGGUCCCAGGGCAAACCACUGCACCCAAAUUGGAUAGGCAACACAGUCAUGAUUUGUGAACAGGAACCUCCAGGGGAAAUGGUGCAGGUAGGAAACCUGAAGAGAAAUGGACAAAUUGACAAAAGCUCAGUGUGGACAAGUCUGAGCUAUAAAAAUGACAGGAGACCUGUCAUGGAGGCUCAUAAACAUUUGAGGGUUUUUUGUUUUUUGUUUUACCGCCAGAAAUGUGAUGAAUCCCACAGUGAACAUUGGGGGAAAUCUCCUUAUGCUUCUGGCAGGGGAAAGGGAAAAGAAACUUCUGAAAUAUGUCAGAGCACUAUUCCUCACGAAGCUGUUCUCUAGAUAGAUGGCCUUGCCAGAGCCUGCCUGACCUGAGCAAGGAAGCUCCCAGCCCAGCACUCUGUUCUCCCUGACCUUGUGAGGGCCCUGGAGCACAGGCUUAUGGUGCUGCAUGCCUCAUUGCACAGCCAACAUGGCAGCACUGAGGCAUGGGUGCCGCAGCUCCCUUACCCAGCUUGUCACAUCUGCCUUUUAACAAAGACCUGUAAGACACUGAAAGAAAAAUGCAGUGUGGAGAGACUGAACAAACAUUAGAAUGAGAGUCAUAACUGGCAAGAGUGUUGGAAUUACCAGAUCAGGGAUUUUUUUUAAAACUAAUAUGACUAAGGCUUUAGUGGAAAAUGUAUGAUGUACAGAAACAGAUAUAUAAUAUAGGCAGAGAGAUUGAAAUUCUAAAAUAGAAUAAAAAAUGCUAGAAAUGAAAAACACUAUAAUAGUAGUAAUGACAGAUGCCUUUGAUGACUCACUAAUAGACUGGUCAGGGUUUUGAGUAUAAUGUUAUUUGAAGGCACACUUGGAUUAGUUGUAAGUGUAGAUAGAAAACCAAUUAAAAACAAAAGUACAAGACAAGUAUAAUGAAUAUGGCGACAAGGAGACAAAGUGGAGUAAUAGAAAAUACUCAAAACCACAAAAUAAGUAGCCCAGUGAUAGAGCAUUUGUAUAACAUGUGUAAGACCUUAGGUUUGAUCCCCAGCAGUGAAGAAACCAUUUUUAAACCAGAAAAUGCAGAAAAAAGUAUAGAAGAUAAACAGGGACAAAG